Cygnus olor (mute swan) is the source of this 1161-nucleotide long non-coding RNA. RefSeq lists it as uncharacterized. The transcript has 3 exons. Lineage: Eukaryota; Metazoa; Chordata; Aves; Anseriformes; Anatidae. The record is from RefSeq and is a predicted model, not a curated record.
ACCCAGAUAAAACAGCCUCCCAUCUGGUCGUAUGAUUGUCAGACGUGCAUUCUUUUAUAUUAACCGGUUCUCAGCAUUUUAGGAUAGAUGACUACCCAACACUGAACUGUCGCAAGUUUCCACACUGAGACAGCUUUGUAGAAAUAAGAGAAAAAAUUCAUUACAAUUGGCCCAGCAUGGAAUUUAUUUUUAAAAAGGUUGGUAGAAUAUACUUGUAGGCUUCAAAACUAGCACAUCAUCAUUUGAACGCUCCUUCAUCUACAUGAUAUUCUCCAGAAAUACCAAACUUUUAGUCCUGGUCGUUAUAGCUAAUCAGUCAUAUUAGCUAAUCAAAGUAGCUGAUCAGUCACUUGAAGUCUGUUCUGAGCUCUACAGUGUUGGUCAGCUACUGACUUGUGGAAGUCAGACUCUAUCUAUAACCUCGGAAUGGUUAUAAAGCAGGUAUGUUUAUUCGGCGCUGCGCACGCACGCCGGCCGCAAGGGGGAGAGCUCCACCUAACUUGCGCACCAACGGUUGCUGCCAGUGUGCUUCUGUUAGUGGGACAAAUCCGUCUUCAUUUCAUUUCCGCCGUAAGUCUCUUGCAUAGUCAUCAGGCCUCCGAAGAAUCAGUCAGGUAGGGUCCCGUCUCUAUUCGGUUGGGUACUGGAGUCCUUGGGUGGUCGUCCGGCGCACUCUGGUGGUCGUCUGUCGAAGGGCAGAAGUCUUCCUCGCUGCUAAUCUUCUGGCCUUUCCUGUCUUUGUCAGACUUCAUCGGUCAAGCCAGUUCUAGCUCGUUCCAUUAUCUAUGCAUACAGUCUUUUACUCCCUUAUCUUUGGGUCGUUAACCUACAAUUGUGCUAGCUCAGACCUAGGAAUCACCAGCCUUUAUCUUGUUCCCUGUCUCACUACAGAGCUCACUCUAACAUCCCUGGUGGAAGGAGAGCGCUUUCUUACCUGACAGGACUACUGUGCAUGGCUGUCCUGUGUCUCCAUUGAUCAGACUCACAGGAAAGUAAACCAAAUGAGGAUGAAACAGCUUUACCUCUGGACGCAUCAUAGUAUGUAUUGAAAUGGGACCUGUAAGAACAAAGUGCAUUCUCAACAGAUGAAAAAACGCUCACUCUAAAUCUUGCUGGCUUUCCACCACAUCAGAUUGACCGAGACACCCUGAUUCCUUGUCU